Molecule: long non-coding RNA, 700 nt
Filed under: Olea europaea subsp. europaea
Lineage: Eukaryota; Viridiplantae; Streptophyta; Magnoliopsida; Lamiales; Oleaceae
Source: RNAcentral
ACUUAUAGAUACAGAGUGAGAAUGGGCAGAAAGAUGGCUAAUCCAACACCUAAUCAGAAGUAGCAGCUGUCGGCGAUGUCGUACACUGUGGAGCAACUCGUCGUCGUCAACCCUUACAACCCGAACAUCCUUCUAGAUCUCGAAAACUAUGUGAAUGAACAAGUCUCUCCUUAAACGUAUAGUUUGAGUGAAAAUCUUUUCCUUCUUCGUCUCUAUUAGUUCGAGCCAGACAUAAUGAGUACUCAAAUUGUUGCCCGUAUUUUGAUCAAGGCUUUAAUGGCAAUGUCGGCACCAAAUUUCAGCCUUUGUCUCUUUUUAAUUCCUGAAAGAGUGAAAAUGGAAGAAUAGUUUAAGGCACUCAUUGUUCUCUCACACUACUUGGAGAUAGCAAGGUUCUCCCAAUUUUGGGACGAAGUAGCUAAGAGUCGCCACAUGUUAGAUGCUGUACCAGGGUUUGAACAAGCAGUUCAGGCAUAUGCAAUUCAUGUACUUUCACUGAUUUACCAGAGGAUUCGGGAUUUUGAGAACUAUUCUUGUCGAGGCCAUCAACGUUGAAGGCCGUCUCUUGACAAGUUCAUCGACCACCAUGUAUCCAACUCAGAUUGGACUAUAGAGAAGAGUCAGGAUAAGGGCCAACUCAUUAUUCUCCCAUGAAAUGAAUUCAAGCCGGAAAAUUAGCUCGUGGAUUGUCACUUUUUUG